This 253-nucleotide ribosomal RNA is filed under the name uncultured bacterium. Its description in RNAcentral is "partial 16S ribosomal RNA". It matches the Rfam family "Bacterial small subunit ribosomal RNA", at positions 524 to 776 of the family's 1533-position model. The record is from RNAcentral.
UACGUAGGGUGCGAGCGUUGUCCGGAAUUAUUGGGCGUAAAGAGCUUGUAGGCGGUUUGUCGCGUCUGCCGUGAAAUUCCGGGGCUCAACCCCGGACUUGCGGUGGGUACGGGCAGACUAGAGUGUGGUAGAGGAGACUGGAAUUCCUGGUGUAGCGGUGAAAUGCGCAGAUAUCAGGAGGAACACCGAUGGCGAAGGCAGGUCUCUGGGCCACUACUGACGCUGUGAAGCGAAAGCGUGGGGAGCGAACAGG